CUCCAUUCGGUAGCAAUACUGAUGAAGAGCGAGUGGCGAACGGGUGAGUAACACAUGAGCAACCUGCCCCGAAGACUGGGACAACACCGGGAAACCGGUGCUAAUACCGGAUAUCCCUAUCGGACCGCAUGAUCCGAUAAGGAAAUGUUUUUCGCUUCGGGAGGGGCUCGUGGCCUAUCAGCUAGUUGGUGAGGUAACGGCCCACCAAGGCAUCGACGGGUAGCUGGUCUGAGAGGACGAUCAGCCACACUGGGACUGAGACACGGCCCAGACUCCUACGGGAGGCAGCAGUGGGGAAUUUUGCACAAUGCCCGAAAGGGUGAUGCAGCAACGCCGCGUGAGGGAUGAAGGCCUUCGGG
This 359-nucleotide ribosomal RNA is filed under the name uncultured bacterium. RNAcentral describes it as "bacterial SSU rRNA". It matches the Rfam family "Bacterial small subunit ribosomal RNA", at positions 67 to 422 of the family's 1533-position model. The record is from RNAcentral.